GCCCAAUAACGCUCCUUGCCCGUCUUUUACGCGGCGGGACGCGGAGCGUGGCCAUCCUUGCCCUCGGGCUCGGCGGGCCGAAGCAUGUGGCUUGCCGAUUGGGGCCGGCAGUGGCGAGUGGUGGAUUGCUCACGCGAGCCGUACGUCGCCCGUCGCGCCCCCGAGCGGGAGCCUCGUGUCACCCCGGACGCACGGAUGCCGAACGGCAUCCUCGGACC
RNAcentral lists this unclassified non-coding RNA (218 nucleotides) under Juncus decipiens. The record is from RNAcentral. Lineage: Eukaryota; Viridiplantae; Streptophyta; Magnoliopsida; Poales; Juncaceae.